AUUGAACGCUGGCGGCAGGCCUAACACGUGCAAGUCGAACGGUAACAGGAAGAAGCUUGCUUCUUUGCUGACGAGUGGCGGACGGGUGAGUAAUGUCUGGGAAACUGCCUGAUGGAGGGGGAUAACUACUGGAAACGGUAGCUAAUACCGCAUAACGUCGCAAGACCAAAAAGGGGGACCUUCGGGCCUCUUGCCAUCGGAUGUGCCCAGAUGGGAUUAGCUAGUAGGUGGGGUAACGGCUCACCUAGGCGACGAUCCCUAGCUGGUCUGAGAGGAUGACCAGCCACACUGGAACUGAGACACGGUCCAGACUCCUACGGGAGGCAGCAGUGGGGAAUAUUGCACAAUGGGCGCAAGCCUGAUGCAGCCAUGCCGCGUGUAUGAAGAAGGCCUUCGGGUUGUAAAGUACUUUCAGCGGGGAGGAAGGGAGUAAAGUUAAUACCUUUGCUCAUUGACGUUACCCGCAGAAGAAGCACCGGCUAACUCCGUG
This 490-nucleotide ribosomal RNA is filed under the name uncultured bacterium. RNAcentral describes it as "partial 16S ribosomal RNA". It matches the Rfam family "Bacterial small subunit ribosomal RNA", at positions 30 to 507 of the family's 1533-position model. The record is from RNAcentral.